Molecule: unclassified non-coding RNA, 330 nt
Organism: Mustela putorius furo (domestic ferret)
Lineage: Eukaryota; Metazoa; Chordata; Mammalia; Carnivora; Mustelidae
Gene: 7SK
Rfam family: 7SK RNA
About the family: 7SK was discovered as an abundant small nuclear RNA in the mid-70s but a possible function has only recently been suggested. Two independent studies have found that 7SK RNA binds the CDK9/cyclin T complex (known as elongation factor P-TEFb).
Source: Ensembl
AGUUGUGAGGACAAUCUGGCUGUGACAUCUGCCACCUCAUGGAUUUCCAGGACUGAUGUGGCUAUCUGGCUGGCUAGGUAGGUGUCCCCUUCCCCCCUUCAUCACUCCUGUUCAUCCUUCCCAUAGCUGUGUGCUCAGUCUAAGAGGAUGACCUUCCCUGACAGAGGAGGACUGUUCUUCAGUCAAGGGUAUACCGGUAGCUGUGCUUUCCUGCUAGAACCUCCAAACAAGCUCUUGAUGUCUAUUUGUAGGAGAACAUAGGGUAGUCAAGCUUCUAAGACUUCAGACACAUCUAAAUGAGGCACAGUAUAUGGCAGUUUGCCUUUCUUU